UUUCACGUUUGUAGCCCUAGACAACAGCCUCUCUCUCUCUCUCUCUCACUCACUUGAAUGGAGGCGAGCGACGAGCGGCGAUUGUGGUGGCGAGCGACGAUCGCUAUCUGCGACAGUGGCGGCGCGCAGCGAUCGAAGCAUCGAUUCGAAGUAAUUAGGGUUUAUGAUCGGUAGCGAGCGGCGGCAGUGGCGAUCGAAGGCAAACUCUCAACUAUCUGUGCCUCAAAAACCCUAGAAGCUUACUUUCGCCGAAGACUUUUCAUUAUGUUCGUUAGAGACUCUCCAUCGCCUUCACCAUACUAUCCAGAUAAUGGAUCAAUCAACCUACUGCCCAGGAUGCUAUUGCUAUUCCCCCUUCUACUAUCCAAGACCCUAUUGAUAAUGCUUCAAAACCACCUAAGGUGCGUGCAACGACAUUAUAACAGUGCCUACAAAGCAUGGGGUGCUUAGCAAACGAACCAACUUGAGGAGAGUUGUUCCAGCAUCUUUCACAUUUUAAUCAAUGAUCAAGAUUUAUUUAUGGUAUAACCCCAAAAUAAGAAAUUUAAAUAUACACUUUAGAUUUAAAAUUUUGAGUAAAUUUCUACGGUUAUAUAUAUAUAUAUAAAUGGUGCAAAGUCAAGGUAUGACAAGUCAAUAAAUUUUCGUGGAGUGUAUGGAAUGGUUGGGAAUAUUCCAUCCUUGGCAUGCUAACAAGAAAAGUCUGCCAACUCAUAAUAAUUUCGUUCAUUCUAUUAAAACUACCUUCCUUAUAUUAUAUAAGAAUAUACAAUAAUAUUUCCAAAAUAAAAAUAUGCAAUAAUAUUAAAUAUUUAAUAUCAUAUUUUCCUUUCUUGUUGACUCAUUUUCAUUACCUAUAUAUACAUAUUGCACAACUACUUUCUCAUACAAAAAAAAGAGACAAAACAAUGGCAAAAGGAUUCAAGAUUUUGAUCUCCCAAAUCAUCUCAUCCUUCCAAUUCUGCCGCUCCAAAAACCUUUCCAACUUCCUAGAAAAUCUUGUCCCUUCAUUCCUCCAACUCUCCCCAAACCCUGUCUUCAUUGAC
This is a long non-coding RNA of Camellia sinensis, 1046 nucleotides long. RefSeq lists it as uncharacterized. The record is from RefSeq and is a predicted model, not a curated record. NCBI's taxonomy places the organism in Eukaryota, Viridiplantae, Streptophyta, Magnoliopsida, Ericales, Theaceae.